AAGUCGUAACAAGGUUUCCGUAGGUGAACCUGCGGAAGGAUCAUUACAUAAAAUUAGGUUGUGCGCAAGCACCAACUUGAGACAUCCCUGUGAACCGUAAGCAACACCUUUGGUGUGUGUAUUCAUUUGCACGCCAAACGGUAUCAACAACAACAAAAACACUUGUAAACAACAUAUCCAGACUUAUAUUUAAUAAUCUAAUUAUUAUACAACUUUUAACAAUGGAUCUCUUGGCUCUU
RNAcentral lists this unclassified non-coding RNA (239 nucleotides) under fungal sp. Its description in RNAcentral is "partial internal transcribed spacer region". The stretch from base 1 to 46 matches the Rfam family "Eukaryotic small subunit ribosomal RNA", at positions 1786 to 1831 of the family's 1831-position model. The record is from RNAcentral. Lineage: Eukaryota; Fungi.